UCAUUUAUCUCUUAAAUGUUUUUUCAAAGGUUUUAUCCUUCUCCUUUUAACUUGUGUCUUUUUCUUGGAAGAUCGAUCAAUCAAGAACAAGAAUCUUGAGUUUAUCAAGUAAAAAUGGAGAUAACAGCAACAUCCCAGUUGUGUUCACAGGUUAAGUUCUCGAUCUCAUCAUCACUCUUCUGUUUAAAUGGUAACAGUAAGAGGAACCAAAACGGAGCUGUUUCAGUCAAUUGCUUGAAAGAGAUCAAACAGUUCAGUAACAUUAGCUUCACUGCCAAGAAGAAACACAGAAACCAAGGGCCGGUGGUGAGGACAACAACACGCGCCUCCGUGGUGGAUGAGAAUCAACCUCAAGCUUCUGCCACCACCAAAGGAGAACGGUGGCUUCUCCAACCAGUUGGCGAUGGAGACACAAGACACAUUGGUUACAAAGUGGAAAUGCCUGCUCCUUUCGAGAUCUCUUCCGGUCAAGUAACCAUCGGACGGCUACCCGAAAAGGCUGACGUUGUGAUUCCUGUGGCCACCGUUUCGGGAGUACAUGCCACAAUAGACACACAAAGAGACAACCUUCUCGUAACGGAUAUGAACAGCACAAAUGGUACAUUCAUCGAAGACAAACGUCUGAUCCCUGGUGUUGCUGCUCCUGCCUUUCCCGGAACCCGAAUCACCUUUGGAGAUACAAAUCUAGCAAUUUUCCGUGUUUUCAAGCUCCAAGAUAGGCAAGAGGAAGAACCCACUGAGAAACCAGCCACAGAAAUCCGAAGCACUGUAAACAAAAGUAUAUUUUCUUCUUCUUUUUCAUCCCUUCAGUGUAAGACAAUAUCUCUUGCUGCCUAGCCGUGGCUUCGUCCAGAGUCUGAUAUUUCAAACAAAAUAAAUUAAAUUGGACAACUGAAGCUCAAGCUCGUCUACACGGCUUAGAGCGGCAGUGAGUAUCUGUUCUUUCUCCGGGGAGGACACCGCCGCCUGCUGAUUCUGCAACGAUCUACAUUUCUCCUCCAGCUCGGCCAUUCUCUUCUCCAUCAACGUAUACUCUUGGCUUGACACCAUCUCCGUCUCUUCUUUCUCUGCUUUGUCGCCGUAUAUAGCUGCCUUAGUGAGCUUCCUAAGCAUGUUCUUUGUUACUAUAUAUCCCACGUCCUGAAAGUAUUUACAAUAGAUGGUUUGAUAUGUUUGAAACUUACUUGUGUUUCACGUUUCCUUAAAAAUGCUAGCUUCUUCUUGCAA
Brassica napus (rape) is the source of this 1227-nucleotide RNA transcript. RefSeq lists it as uncharacterized. The record is from RefSeq and is a predicted model, not a curated record. Lineage: Eukaryota; Viridiplantae; Streptophyta; Magnoliopsida; Brassicales; Brassicaceae. The transcript has 7 exons.